RNAcentral lists this long non-coding RNA (1259 nucleotides) under Strigops habroptila (Kakapo). RNAcentral describes it as "lncRNA (ENSSHBG00005018036.1)". The record is from RNAcentral. Lineage: Eukaryota; Metazoa; Chordata; Aves; Psittaciformes; Psittacidae.
CACUUCAUUAUGGUACACAACAUUUUAAAGACCACUGCAGGAUCAUAUAUGUUAUGAAGAACGUAUGCCUUGUGAGCCUUACGAAGUAUGCCUUAUGAAGUCAGUAGUUUGUUAUUUUUCUGGACGUCACACAUUUAUUAAGAUGACAGAUGAAAGAGUGGAUGUUCACAGUGUUCUCUCCCAAACCGCUGUUCUGCUACAUGCUAUUCUUUUUCUACCUGUCGUUGCCAUUCCCCUGCCGCUCAGACACAUUUCCUCUUUGAGUUGAUUUGUUUUCCCCAGUCUCCUGUUAUCCCUGUAAGCAUUACAAUUUUUUUGUUUGCUUGCUGGGAAAAUGAGACCAUAUUUGAUUUCUUUGAGUUGUGAGGUGAUUUGACAUGAUGGCUGAAGCCAGAGUAAGUGUGUGCAUUCACUGUAGGGAUAGUGGCAGACAUUUCACUACAUAGCACAGAGCAACACUGUCACAAAGCUAAUUCAGUGUUUGCUAGGAAAAGAAGAAUCAAUUAAACUGAGGAACAAACUGUUUUUUUAAUCACUUAAAUCUUUCUUCAAUGAGACUGUGGAAAUGAGGGAGCCUUGGGUUCUGGUUUUUUGGACAAAACAUUAUACUGAUGCAUCAGAUGGUUGCAGCAAAGUUGUCUAAGGUACAUUUGCAGUGGAAAUACAGUAUUGCUUAAACACAGACACUCCAUCUGUAAUUGACUAGCUGCAAAACGAGUUUUAGGAGAAACUGGGAAUUGUUAAAUAUUGCUGCUUCUGUCACUUGGUGACGCAUGCUUAAAAAACAUACGUCAUGGUAGUGUGAAACCACUCUUCAGGAUAAAUGAUGUGACAGAGGAUAUUAAAUUACUGAGUUAGGAGAUAAGACAAUCUGCUUCUAGUUUACUUUGUGAAGUUGAGCAAUUUGCUGAGUCUGGAUCUUGCCUAGAAAAAUGUUGGAUGGUUUCAGAACAGUGGCUGUUGCUGACAGGUGCUGAGCCUUCUGCCUUCUUACUACUUAAACACUGCAAAACAUUUGAGUACAUGUACGCCGUAGUUUAGCAUUUAUAGAACUGUACAUGUUUGUUGGUCAUGAUCUGUAGUUUAUUCCAUGGCAAAAAAGCUUGGUAAGUUUUAUAACUGCCUGUACAGUAUUUGCAACAGCGCGUAUCACAUCCUGAAGUGAACUUGAACCCUGGAAAGCAUUGGUUUUAAUGAUAAUCACUUCUUACUUGCUGUAUUCCACCUAAUAAAGUGGGCUGAUUGCCCAUGUCUUUAAA